This 1192-nucleotide long non-coding RNA is filed under the name Salmo salar (Atlantic salmon). RNAcentral describes it as "lncRNA (ENSSSAG00000102876.1)". Lineage: Eukaryota; Metazoa; Chordata; Actinopteri; Salmoniformes; Salmonidae. The record is from RNAcentral.
GGGACGUAGCCAGCGGUCAAGGAUGAGUUGAUGAGCGAGGUGAGGUAGGGGAGAAGGUCUCCGGAAAUGGUCUGGAGAAGAGAGGAGGGGAUAGGGUCAAGUGGGCAGGUUGUUGGGCGGCCGGCCGUCACAAGACGCGAGAUUUCAUCUGGAGAGAGAGGGGAGAAAGAGAGGUGUUGGAUGAGAGCGAGAGGGAAAAGGAUACAAGGUAGUGGUCGGAGACUUGGAGGGGAGUUGCGAUGAGAUUAGUGGAAGAACAGCAUCUAGUAAAGAUGAGGUCAAGCGUAUUGCCUGCCUUGUGAGUAGGGGGGGAAGGUGAGAGGGUGAGGUCGAAAGAGGAGAGGAGUGGAAAGAAGGAGGCAGAGAGGAAUGAGUCGAAGGUAGACGUGUGGAGGUUAAAGUCACCUGACUUCCAGUUGUAUUACUGGGCAUCUCAGUUAAAGGCUAUGUGGGUAUGGCUAGAUACGUGUUCACCCUCUUGGAGACAGAUAGAGGAAUAGUGUCUUUCCUCUGUUUCAUUGGCAUCUAUACCUGGUAUUAGCCCCACCUAAAGCUUUGCUAGGUCUCACAAUCAACCCUUUCAUUAAAAACACUAAAUAUAUUGAUUGAAGUCCGUAAACAAACAGAAGGGGAUAGAUCUAUAUAUGAACAAACACCUUUCAAUAAUAACCCCAUCUCACCCAAACCCCUGAGAGAUGCUGUUAUAUUGUCUUGGUUCAACAAAGGAAAUAAAACAUUUGGUCAUCUGUAUAGAGAAGGUGAACUAAGUACCUACAGGUUAGACUUUAUAUUGCCACUCAACAGGGAGGUAGAAUUCAGUCCAUGAGUAAACCUAUAACUGACAAACUGUGGCUGGAGAGGAAAGAGGUAAAAGGUUUCAUUUGUUACAUGUACUCUAAUCUUCAAGCUCUUUUGGGGAACGAUGAAGCUCUGCAGGCUUGCAUGAAGUGGAAUGAUGAUUGAUGACCUUAGUCUCAUUUUUGAGGAUGAGAAAUGGGGAAAUCUCUUUUUAGAUGCUCAGUGACUCUAAUUUAACACAAUGUACAAUUUCAUGCAAUUCAACCUUUUACAUAGGGUCAACUUUACACCAGAGAGACUGUAUAAGAUAUAAUGCAUUCUGAAAGUAUUCAGAUCCCUUGACUUUUUCCACAUUUUGUUACAUUAUACUAAACUUGAUUCAAUUGUCAUUAUG